Molecule: transfer RNA, 66 nt
Filed under: Mantidae JZ-2017
Lineage: Eukaryota; Metazoa; Arthropoda; Insecta; Mantodea; Mantidae
Description: tRNA-Asp
Source: RNAcentral
AAGAAGUUAGUUAAAAUUUAACAUUAGUAUGUCAAACUAAAAUUAUUAGAUAUCUAAUACAUCUUU